UAUCUACGCCCUCCGUCCAGAAAAGCUUGUCCCUCAAAUGGAUGUAUCUAGUCCCUCAAAUGGAUGUAUCUAGCACUAACUUGGUGUUAGAUACAUCCAAUUAAGGGACAAGCUUUUUUGGACAGAGGGAGUAUAGU
Triticum aestivum (bread wheat) is the source of this 137-nucleotide non-coding RNA. NCBI's taxonomy places the organism in Eukaryota, Viridiplantae, Streptophyta, Magnoliopsida, Poales, Poaceae. The record is from Rfam.